UAGUCCACGCCGUAAACGAUGGUCACUAGUUGUUGGGGUCUUGUACCUCAGUGAUUAAGAGAAAUUGAUAAGUGACCCACCUGGGGAGUACGAUCGCAAGAUUGAAACUCAAAGGAAUUGACGGGGGCCCGCACAAGCGGUGGAACAUGUGGUUUAAUUCGAUGAUACGCGAGGAACCUUACCAGGGCUUAAAUGUAAGUUGCAUGAUUUAGAGAUAGAUCUUUCUUCGGACUACUUACAAGGUGCUGCAUGGUUAUCGUCAGCUCGUGCCGUGAGGUGUCAGGUUAAGUCCUAUAACGAGCGCAACCCCUGUUGUUAGUUGCCAGCGAGUCAAGUCGGGAACUCUAACAAGACUGUCAGUGCAAACUGUGAGGAAGGUGGGGAUGACGUCAAAUCAUCACGGCCCUUACGUCCUGGGCUACACACGUGCUACAAUGGUAGGUACAGAGAGCAGCCACAACGCGAGUUGGAGCGAAUCUAUAAAACCUAUCACAGUUCGGAUCGG
Molecule: ribosomal RNA, 505 nt
Filed under: uncultured bacterium
Lineage: Bacteria
Description: bacterial SSU rRNA
Rfam family: Bacterial small subunit ribosomal RNA
Source: RNAcentral